AGUUGAUCCUGGCUCAGGACGAACGCUGGCGGCGUGCUUCAUACAUGCAAGUCGAACGAGAAGCUGACUUCGGUCAGUGGAAAGUGGCGGACGGGUGAGUAAUAUGUAGGAAAUCUGCCCUAGAGAGGGGGACAACAGAGGGAAACUUCUGCUAAUACCCCAUAUGAGCUUAGUUGAAAUACUAAUCUUGAAAAACUCCGGUGCUCUGGGAUGAGCCUGCAUCUGAUUAGCUAGUUGGCGGUGUAAUGGACCACCAAGGCUGCGAUCAGUAGCCGGACUGAGAGGUUGAACGGCCACAUUGGGACUGAGAUACGGCCCAGACUCCUACGGGAGGCAGCAGGUGGGGAAUAUUGGGCAAUGGGGCCGCAAGCCUGACCCAGCAACGCCGCGUGAAGGAAGAAGGUCUUUCGGGUUAGUAAACUUUCUUUUAGUGGGGGACGAAAGAACGUGACCGGUACCUCAUGAAUAAGCCACGGCUAACUACGUGCCAGCCGCCGC
RNAcentral lists this ribosomal RNA (498 nucleotides) under uncultured bacterium. RNAcentral describes it as "bacterial SSU rRNA". It matches the Rfam family "Bacterial small subunit ribosomal RNA", at positions 10 to 518 of the family's 1533-position model. The record is from RNAcentral.